This 682-nucleotide ribosomal RNA is filed under the name uncultured bacterium. RNAcentral's name for it is "bacterial SSU rRNA". It matches the Rfam family "Bacterial small subunit ribosomal RNA", at positions 56 to 747 of the family's 1533-position model. The record is from RNAcentral.
UGCAGUCGAACGGUGAUAUUUAUAUCAUAGUGGCGCACGGGUGCGUAACACGUAUGCAACCUACCUAUUAUUGGGGGAUAGCCUUUGGAAACGGAGAUUAAUACCGCAUAAUACGAUUAACUGGCAUCGGUUGAUUGUUAAAGCAUUUGCGAUAAUAGAUGGGCAUGCGUCCAAUUAGUUAGUUGGUGUGGUAAUGGCUCACCAAGACGAUGAUUGGUAGGGGAUCUGAGAGGAUAAUCCCCCACACUGGCACUGAGAUACGGGCCAGACUCCUACGGGAGGCAGCAGUAGGGAAUAUUGGGCAAUGGGCGGAAGCCUGACCCAGCCAUGCCGCGUGCAGGAAGACGGCGUUAUGCGUUGUAAACUGCUUUUUUAUAGGAAGAAGGAUCCCUUGCGAGGGAAGGUGACGGUACUAUAAGAAUAAGCACCGGCUAACUCCGUGCCAGCAGCCGCGGUAAUACGGAGGGUGCAAGCGUUGUCCGGAUUUAUUGGGUUUAAAGGGUGCGUAGGCGGUUUAUUAAGUCAGUGGUGAAAGACGGUCGCUCAACGAUUGCAGUGCCAUUGAUACUGGUAGACUUGAGUGAGAUUGAGGUAGCUGGAAUGGAUAGUGUAGCGGCGAAAUGCAUAGAUAUUAUCCAGAACACCGAUUGCGAAGGCAGGUUACUAAGUCUUAACUGACGCU